AGUGAGCGCUGGCGGUAGGCCUAACACAUGCAAGUCGAACGGCAGCACAGUAAGAGCUUGCUCUUACGGGUGGCGAGUGGCGGACGGGUGAGGAAUACAUCGGAAUCUACUUUUUCGUGGGGGAUAACGUAGGGAAACUUACGCUAAUACCGCAUACGACCUACGGGUGAAAGCAGGGGAUCUUCGGACCUUGCGCGAUUGAAUGAGCCGAUGUCGGAUUAGCUAGUUGGCGGGGUAAAGGCCCACCAAGGCGACGAUCCGUAGCUGGUCUGAGAGGAUGAUCAGCCACACUGGAACUGAGACACGGUCCAGACCCCUACGGGAGGCAGCAGUGGGGAAUUUUGGAAAAGGGGCGCAAGCCUGAUCCAGCCAUACCGGGGGGGUGAAGAAGGCCUUCGGAUUGUAAAGCCCUUUUGUUGGGAAAAAAAAGCAGCAGGUUAAUACCCCGCUGUUCUGACGGUACCCAAAGAAUAAGCACCGGCUAACUUCGU
RNAcentral lists this ribosomal RNA (491 nucleotides) under uncultured bacterium. Its description in RNAcentral is "partial 16S ribosomal RNA". It matches the Rfam family "Bacterial small subunit ribosomal RNA", at positions 29 to 506 of the family's 1533-position model. The record is from RNAcentral.